This 2251-nucleotide long non-coding RNA is filed under the name Homo sapiens (human). RNAcentral's name for it is "HSALNT0250718". The record is from RNAcentral. Lineage: Eukaryota; Metazoa; Chordata; Mammalia; Primates; Hominidae.
CAUCAGUCACCCUUGUGAGUGCACUUUAGCCAUAGCAAGAGCAAGAUCAGAGAGAAAUAAGGACUUAUGACCAUUAGACCAGGAGACAGGAAGCGAUGGUUCUGGAAGGGGCUCUGUUACUAACUUUGGAAUUCAACUGUCCAGAUAGAAAGGUGGACAUGGAAAAAUUGGGCUUUGCAAAUGGUCACCCAAUUCUUGCCUUCCUGGUCUCCAGAUCACCCUUCCUAUACCGCCACUCUGGAGAAAGAAGUACAGAACGCUAACAAGCUAGAUACAGAGGACCUAACAUACAACUCAGAGUCCCUAGAAGAUGGAGAAAACACAGACAAUUGGCAGAGGAGAUGAGCAUGUGAUUAUUGUUACCACUUGUCUGGAAGCAACCAGAAUGGAGUGGGGAAGACUCAAGGAGGAGAUCUUCACAGGACUCACCUCUCAUCACAGCUCCCGUGUGGUUGUAAUCACCCCAGAGGGAAAAAUAAUUUCGGUUUUUUAUGGUUUAAUUAUUGGUGAUAGCAGCUGUUUUGAAGACACAAACACAGAAGCAAGUUCUAGAACAUACUCACAGUUUCCUUGGUCACAGUGUUGUCAGUGGUUCUAUAAAGGUCUUAUGAAUCUCUACUUAGUUGACCACAAGUAGUAAGCAAGAAACAAUCCUGUAAAGAGAAUGGAGGUCAGAAUAAAGAAGCCUUGAGGGUUUAAAUCGCUUCUUGAAAAGGUAAUAAUAUUUACUCUUUUAAAAAUUAUAAACAAUACAUGUUCCUUUUACAGAAAAAAAAGAAAAAAAUAAGGAAACAGGACAUAAAACUCAUCUGUUAUUCCACCAUCUAGAUACAACUACUGUUAACCCAGGAACACUUAAAGAGUGUUUCAUGAAUAUUUAUGUAUACAUGCAAAUAUAUUUUCUAUCGGUCUUAGUUUACAAAACAGGGAUCCUAUUGUCCUUGCUGUUUUGUGACCUUUUCUUUCAUUGAAUAAGAUAUUAAUGAAUAUCCUUUGCCAGUAAAUAAACUUCAACUCUGUGGUGGACACAUUCUAAGAUGAUUCCCUUUGAUCCCCACCCCCUUGUGUUCUCACCAUUGUAUAACUGUGUGAUCACUCCAUUUGAGUGUGGGCUGAACUUCUGACUUACAUCCAACCAAUUGAAUAUCACAGUGUUGGGAUAUCAUUUCCAAGAUUAGGUUACAAGAAGACUCUAUCUUCUUGCUCAUGCUCUCUUAUUCUCUGGCUUGCUUUCUGCCAUGGAGCCAACUGCCAUGUCAUCAACUGUCUGCCCUACAGAAAUGCCCGUGUGUCAAGGAGCUAAGGGAGACCAGCCCAGGAGGAGCUGAAUCCUGCCAACAAUCACUUGAGUGAACUUGAGAGUGAAUCCUCUCCAUGUUAAGCCUUGAGGUGAUUGUAGCUCCAUCAAAUACCUUCAUUGUAGCCUUGUGAGAGAUCUGAGUCAGAGGAUGGAGUUAAGCCAAGCCCAGAUUCCAGACCCUCAGAAACUGUGAGAUAAUAAAUUUGUUGUUCUAAGCUACUAAGUUUUGGUGUAAAACAGCCAUAGAUAACUGAUACAAAUCACAUAAUUUUUAAUAGCUGCUUCAUAUGUUAAUAUGUCUGUACCAUAAUUUACUCAAUCUUUUGUUGCUGCACAUUUUGGUUAUUUUGUUUUGCUAUUAUAAACAGGGCUGCAAUGAAUAUUAUUGUACUUAAACAUUGGUACACGUUCUUCUUUCCUAAGGAUAAAUUCCUUGAAGUAAAAUAGCUGGCUUUCAAUGGGUAUGCAUUUUUUUAAAGCUUUUGGUAUGUUAUUCCCCAAUCACUUUCUGUUAGGAUUGUAUUCAUUUACAGUCCUGCUGGCUGUAGUUCAGGUUAAUUUCAACUACUUUAUCUUGAGUUGUCUCCAUGAAAACCAGUUAGAAACCGAAACCAAAGCCCCAAACAAGAAAAGCCCCAAACAAGAACCCAGGAAAGAAAACUAAGGUUGAAUCUUGAAAACUAUGAGAUAAAUUUGAAGCUAAACAAUUUUCAAAGUACCAUUGUUUUGAAAUAAGUCUGAUAAAUUCAACCACCCUCAAAUUGUUAUUCUUAUCUUUCAAUGGACACAGAAGUCCUGAAAAUGUGGUGAUACUCAUAGUCUUCACGAACUUUGAAAGGGAAAACAACAAUUUCUCUGGUUGAAGUCAACAUAACAAUAGGCUAGUUUGAAAAUCCUGUUUUUUUUCAGUUGCACAAAGGAUUGUCAAUAAAUUCAACUUUUUAAAUUACU